UACGUAGGGUCCAAGCGUUAUCCGGAUUUAUUGGGCGUAAAGCACAUGUAGGCGGAUUGUUAAGUCUCGGCUUAAAGCUCUGGGCUCAACCCAGAAUCUGGCUGAGAUACUGGCUUUCUAGUGGUCAGCAGGGGCAAACGGAAUUCCCGGUGUAGGAGUGAAAUCCGUUGAUAUCGGGAGGAACACCAAUGGCGAAGGCAGUUUGCUAGGCUGAUUCAGACACUGAGAUGUGAAAGCGUGGGGAGCGAACGGG
Molecule: ribosomal RNA, 253 nt
Filed under: uncultured bacterium
Lineage: Bacteria
Description: partial 16S ribosomal RNA
Rfam family: Bacterial small subunit ribosomal RNA
Source: RNAcentral